This 253-nucleotide non-coding RNA is filed under the name uncultured bacterium. Its description in RNAcentral is "partial 16S ribosomal RNA". It matches the Rfam family "Bacterial small subunit ribosomal RNA", at positions 524 to 776 of the family's 1533-position model. The record is from RNAcentral. RNAcentral also lists the same sequence under 1 other name.
UACGAAGGUCCCGAGCGUUGUUCGGAUUUACUGGGCGUAAAGAGUCUGUAGGCUGUAAAGUAAGUCAGGUGUGAAAUCCCGGGGCUCAACCCCGGAACUGCACCCGAUACUGCUUUACUGGAGUAUUGGAGGGGAAUCUGGAAUUCUCGGUGUAGCAGUGAAAUGCGUAGAUAUCGAGAGGAACACUAGUGGCGAAGGCGAGAUUCUGGACAAUUACUGACGCUGAGAGACGAAGGCCAGGGUAGCGAAAAGG